UAUAUUUAGUGCAUUUCUGAACUAAAAAUGCCUUAAAAUAGUUCCUUCAUUCAUCUGACUUCUUUUUUUCAGCAUUUACUUUAAGUCAGUGAUUUAAGUUGAGCAGAAAUAAAUCUGCUGCUGCUUCACAAGAACUUUGUGAAAUCAACAUAAAGAAGACAGUGAAACAAAUCCUAUUUCUACUGGUGCUGCCUCACUUUACAAUUCUCAGAAGGGAGUGAAUAUUGCAGGUUUCGAGAUAUAACAGAAGGCAGAAAUAUCUGCAGUGUGGAGUAUAGCUAGAAAUGUUUUCUACACAAGCCUCUGAGGAGACCAACUGUGAUGCAGGUAUUUUUGCCUGAAGCAUGUGGAUCAGAAAUAAUGCUAGAAUGGGAGGCUGAAGGUCAAGUGAUGGGAGAGGAGUCCUGCUGUGUGGGUAGGUGAGAGUGGUGAGCCAAAGGACGUCAUCUGGAUGUGGGACUGUCCCUCUUCAAGGCCUUUCUCCUUGUUUAGAGGCCCCUUUUUACCAGAUGAUUGAAGGAACCCAUGUUUUGGGGACUGCAUCUUGAGUUCAG
RNAcentral lists this long non-coding RNA (554 nucleotides) under Gallus gallus (chicken). Its description in RNAcentral is "lncRNA (ENSGALG00010021849.1)". The record is from RNAcentral. Lineage: Eukaryota; Metazoa; Chordata; Aves; Galliformes; Phasianidae.